Molecule: ribosomal RNA, 253 nt
Filed under: uncultured bacterium
Lineage: Bacteria
Description: partial 16S ribosomal RNA
Rfam family: Bacterial small subunit ribosomal RNA
Source: RNAcentral
UACGGAGGAUGCAAGCGUUAUCCGGAUUCAUUGGGUUUAAAGGGUGCGCAGGUGGGCUUUUAAGUCAGUGGUGAAAUGCUGCCGCUUAACGGUAGAAUUGCCAUUGAUACUGAGAGUCUUGAGUAUGGUUGAGGUAGGCGGAAUGUGUUGUGUAGCGGUGAAAUGCAUAGAUAUGACACAGAACGCCGAUUGCGAAGGCAGCUUACUAAGCCAUUACUGACGCUGAGGCACGAAAGCGUGGGGAGCGAACAGG